This 713-nucleotide ribosomal RNA is filed under the name uncultured bacterium. RNAcentral describes it as "bacterial SSU rRNA". It matches the Rfam family "Bacterial small subunit ribosomal RNA", at positions 111 to 823 of the family's 1533-position model. The record is from RNAcentral.
UAACACGUAUCCAACCUGCCUCAUACUCGGGGAUAGCCUUUCGAAAGAAAGAUUAAUAUCCGAUAGCAUAUAUUUCCCGCAUGGGUUUUAUAUUAAAGAAAUUCGGUAUGAGAUGGGGAUGCGUUCCAUUAGUUUGUUGGGGGGGUAACGGCCCACCAAGACUACGAUGGAUAGGGGUUCUGAGAGGAAGGUCCCCCACAUUGGAACUGAGACACGGUCCAAACUCCUACGGGAGGCAGCAGUGAGGAAUAUUGGUCAAUGGACGCGAGUCUGAACCAGCCAAGUAGCGUGAAGGAUGACUGCCCUAUGGGUUGUAAACUUCUUUUAUAUGGGAAUAAAGUUGUCCACGUGUGGAUUUUUGUAUGUACCAUAUGAAUAAGGAUCGGCUAACUCCGUGCCAGCAGCCGCGGUAAUACGGAGGAUCCGAGCGUUAUCCGGAUUUAUUGGGUUUAAAGGGAGCGUAGGCGGAUUGUUAAGUCAGUUGUGAAAGUUUGCGGCUCAACCGUAAAAUUGCAGUUGAUACUGGCAGUCUUGAGUGCAGUAGAGGUGGGCGGAAUUCGUGGUGUAGCGGUGAAAUGCUUAGAUAUCACGAAGAACUCCGAUUGCGAAGGCAGCUCACUGGAGUGUAACUGACGCUGAUGCUCGAAAGUGUGGGUAUCAAACAGGAUUAGAUACCCUGGUAGUCCACACAGUAAACGAUGAAUACUCGCUGU